CGGUGGGUCUUAGGCGGGGGGCUAGGGGUCCUCUGAAAGGCUUUGCCUUGACCGUAAAUCCUCUAUAUGACGGGCUGACAGCUGAGAUUGAGGCGUCAAAGAGCGUUGAGCUCCGCUCAUACUUGCAGUGAAUGUCCGUCCUUUGGGGCUGACGGUCAUGGAGCUGUCUCCGUAAGGUGACAGUUUCCGUGUCUAUUAGGCGAAUCUGGCCAGGCCCGGGAGGGAGCAACCUAAGUCUAGACGUUUAGCGCUCAAAGGGGUGCGGAUACGAGACAAGAAUAAGCUGUGGGCUCAACGAAAACUAGGCGCCAAACCUCUGUGACCCACUG
Molecule: signal recognition particle RNA, 329 nt
Filed under: Candidatus Bathyarchaeota archaeon
Lineage: Archaea; Thermoproteati; Candidatus Bathyarchaeota
Description: signal recognition particle sRNA
Rfam family: Archaeal signal recognition particle RNA
Source: RNAcentral